UACGGAGGAUCCGAGCGUUAUCCGGAUUUAUUGGGUUUAAAGGGUGCGCAGGCGGGGGAUUAAGUCGGCGGUGAAAUUUUGCAGCUCAACUGUAAAAGUGCCUUCGAAACUGGUUUCCUUGAGUGUAGAUGAAGUAGGCGGAAUUUGUGGUGUAGCGGUGAAAUGCUUAGAUAUCACGAGGAACUCCGAUUGCGCAGGCAGCUUACUAAACUACUACUGACGCUCAGGCACGAAGGCGUGGGGAUCAAACAGGAUUAGAUACCCUGGUAGUCCCU
This 275-nucleotide ribosomal RNA is filed under the name uncultured prokaryote. RNAcentral describes it as "partial 16S ribosomal RNA". It matches the Rfam family "Bacterial small subunit ribosomal RNA", at positions 524 to 798 of the family's 1533-position model. The record is from RNAcentral.